This 505-nucleotide ribosomal RNA is filed under the name uncultured bacterium. RNAcentral's name for it is "bacterial SSU rRNA". It matches the Rfam family "Bacterial small subunit ribosomal RNA", at positions 15 to 518 of the family's 1533-position model. The record is from RNAcentral.
GAUUCUGGCUCAGAUUGAACGCUGGCGGCAGGCUUAACACAUGCAAGUCGAACGAGGUUAGGGAGCUUGCUCCUGAUACCUAGUGGCGAACGGGUGAGUAAUGCUUAGGAAUCUGCCUAGUAGUGGGGGGAUAACUAUCCGAAAGGAUAGCUAAUACCGCAUACGACCUACGGGUGAAAGGGGGCGCAAGCUCUCGCUAUUAGAUGAGCCUAAGUCGGAUUAGCUAGUUGGUGGGGUAAAGGCCUACCAAGGCGACGAUCUGUAGCUGGUCUGAGAGGAUGAUCAGCCACACUGGGACUGAGACACGGCCCAGACUCCUACGGGAGGCAGCAGUGGGGAGUAUUGGACAAUGGGCGAAAGCCUGAUCCAGCCAUGCCCGCGUGUGUGAAGAAGGCCUUUUGGUUGUAAAGCACUUUAAGUAGGGAGGAAAAGUUAAUGGUUAAUACCCAUUAGCCCUGACGUUACCUACAGAAUAAGCACCGGCUAACUCUGUGCCAGCCGCCGC